CCUACGGGUGGCAGCAGUGGGGAAUAUUGCACAAUGGGGGAAACCCUGAUGCAGCGACGCCGCGUGAGUGAUGAAGUAAUUCGUUAUGUAAAGCUCUAUCAGCAGGGAAGAAAAUUACGGUACCUGCGUAAGAAUCCCCGGCUAACUACGUUCCAGCCGCCGCGGUAAUACGUAGGGGGCCAGCGUUUUCCGGAUUUACUGGGUGUAAAGGGAGCGUAGGCGGCAGUGCAAGUCUGGAGUGAAAGGCGGGGGCUCAAACCCCGGCCUGCUGUGGAAACUGUACGGCUGGAGUGCAGGAGAGGUAAGUGGAAUUCGUAGUGUAGCGGUGAAAUGCGUAGAUAUUAGGAAGAACACCAGUGGCGAAGGCGGCUUACUGGACUGUAACUGACGUUGAGGCUCGAAAGCGUGGGGAGCGAACAGGAUUAGAUACCCGGGUAGUC
This 440-nucleotide ribosomal RNA is filed under the name uncultured bacterium. RNAcentral's name for it is "partial 16S ribosomal RNA". It matches the Rfam family "Bacterial small subunit ribosomal RNA", at positions 338 to 795 of the family's 1533-position model. The record is from RNAcentral.